ACCAUACCAGCUUUAUAGCAGGUGAACUGCACCUUGAAAGACCUUGUCAGAGCUAAGGAGCCCAGUGAAGGACUAAGAGGUUAUGUCAGUGCUGCAAAAUCUUGUUUCCAGCAAACUGCAACUCUCAGCCAGCAAAUAGACACCACAGGGUGCUAUCAGGAAGAGAAUCAAGAACAUAGGGACUUUGUACACUGAUCAUCAUCAUCCAUGCUAAUUAUUGAAACCCAGAAAGAAAGUCAGUAAGUCAGAAAACCGCAAAAAAAAAGAACAAAUUAUCCCAUGCAUCCCAGGAGGAACAGCAGUGUAUCUUGGAAUUUAGAAUGAGCAAGAACCAAGAUCCAAUAUUUAGGGUGCGAAUAACUGCAAACAACAACUACAAAAAUAUAAAUCAGUUACAAUAGCCAAGCUAGAAAGAACAUUCUACAAAGUUACAAGUCUGGGCAUUUCCAUUCCAGAUAGCAGAAGUGUAAGACACUGUCAGUGCAUGCAUGAGGAUCAUUCAUGAGAACCAUCUAAAAUGUGUAACUGGAGGUUUGUUUCUCCUCUCUCUGGUGCAGGAGCAUUCACUCAUAUUGAAAUGUUCCUGCCCGGGGCUGCAGACUGUGGGAACUAAGAGCCACAUAUAAAUAAUUGAAAACAAGUUUGAUAAUCUGUCCUGACCACUUACAGGAGAGCAGUGUGAGAGCAGCCCUGGGAGGUGAUAUGCAACAAGUUUGCAAGAAAAAUGACAGUGCUUCUUGACUAGAACAAGGAAGCAAAGAGGUCCUGCAGACAGGCAGCUUUGGCCCCAGUAGGGGAGGAUGCAUCGGAGAGGACACGGUGAGGGCCCGGUGGCCGCAGGCGACCUGAGCCAUGCGGUGGCUGAGAGCUACGGAGUUUCUCUGCACCUAGACCCACACCCAGCCUCUGCAAUUUUCCCACUGAAUCUCGACUUGCAUAACCCAGCUCCACGCUUCCUCUGCUCUUGAAUUUUAUUUGUCUUGCAUACCGAGUGCAGCACUGUGGUACUGCCAUCUGGAGAGACAGCAUUAGCAAUGGCCACAGACCAGCCUUACUAAAAGCAGCUGAAAAGUGAAGAUAUUGGGCCACUGUGCAAAGGUCCGCAGGUGAUCAUGACACGGCCUGGCUAAGGGAAAGUCUUCAUCCUUCCUAUUGGGUCAAAAAGAGAGUCUGCUUCAGUGCUACACAGUUCCAGCUCAGCAGGGUGCUCAUCUUCCUGCCUAUUGACCUGGCCACUUUCUGACCAAGGAAAUUCAGCUUAAAAGGUCGUGCUCCUGUUCUAUGUAAGGCACAAUAAGGAUUGGAGAAUUCACUUUGAUGAUCUUCGGUAAUGGAUACUGUGAUUGGUCCCACAAUGACGUGUGACAUGGUCCUGGACAAUGCGGGGUGAGAGGAAGACAGCAGAAGGACCUCCAGAGCAGCUACCCUGUCCCGCCAUAGGAGAGGACACGGUGAGGGCCUGGUGGCCGCAGGUGACCGGAGCCAUGAGGAAGCUGAGAGCUACUGAGUUUCUCUGCACCUAGACCCACAUCCAGCCUCUGUAAUUGUCCCCCUGUAUCUUGACUUGCAUAACUCAAACUCCAGGCUUCCUCUGCUCUGAAUUUCAUUUGUCAUGCAUACCCAGUGCAGCACUGUGGCAACGCCACCGGGAGAGACAGUGUUAGCAAUGGCCACGGACCAGCCUUACUAAAAGCAGCUGAAAAGUGAAGACAUUGGGCCACUGUCAAAGGCGUGCAAGUGGUAAGUUCUGGCUGGACACAAUCCGAGUUCUCGUCCAUUCUCCUGGGUCCCUGGGGGUUUCUUGGGUGACCUGAAUGUUCGUGAGGGCUGACAAGGAAUUCCCAGGGUUACUUAUUUUAGAAUAUACAGAUGUCAUGUCAUGGUUAAGGGAAAGUCUUCAUCCUUCCUAUUGGGACACCAAGAGGAUCUGCUUGACUACAGUUCCAGCUCAGCAGGGCACUCGGCUUCUUGCCUAUUGGCGUGGCCACUUUCUAUAGCAGCUAACCAAUGUAUGGCAGAUAUCAAUUUAUAAAUUUAAUGGGUUUUGUCUAUAGUAAUAGCUACACAUAUGAUAGAUUAGAUGUACGGAUCUAAUCUACAGAAGAGGUAGCUCGAUGGAUGAAUAUAUAUAGUGUAUGCACAGACACAGCUACACAGAAGAUGAAAUAAAAAUUCUACUUUCAAUAUA
This is a long non-coding RNA of Cavia porcellus (domestic guinea pig), 2188 nucleotides long. RefSeq lists it as uncharacterized. Lineage: Eukaryota; Metazoa; Chordata; Mammalia; Rodentia; Caviidae. The record is from RefSeq and is a predicted model, not a curated record. The transcript is spliced from 3 exons.